UACAGAGGUCUCAAGCGUUGUUCGGAUUCAUUGGGCGUAAAGGGUGCGUAGGCGGCGCGGUAAGUCGGGUGUGAAAUUUCGAGGCUUAACUUCGAAACUGCAUUCGAUACUGCCGUGCUUGAGGACUGGAGAGGAGACUGGAAUUUACGGUGUAGCGGUGAAAUGCGUAGAUAUCGUAAGGAAGACCAGUGGCGAAGGCGGGUCUCUGGACA
RNAcentral lists this ribosomal RNA (212 nucleotides) under uncultured bacterium. RNAcentral's name for it is "partial 16S ribosomal RNA". It matches the Rfam family "Bacterial small subunit ribosomal RNA", at positions 524 to 735 of the family's 1533-position model. The record is from RNAcentral.